RNAcentral lists this long non-coding RNA (6321 nucleotides) under Sus scrofa (pig). RNAcentral describes it as "lncRNA (ENSSSCG00025024665.1)". The record is from RNAcentral. Lineage: Eukaryota; Metazoa; Chordata; Mammalia; Artiodactyla; Suidae.
UUUUUUUUUUUUUUUAUGUCUUUUUGCUAUUUCUUUGGGCCGCUCCCGCGGCAUAUGGAGGUUCCCAGUCCAGGGGUUGAAUCGGAGCUGUAGCCACCGGCCUACGCCAGAGCCACAGCAACGCGGGAUCCGAGCCGCGUCUGCAACCUACACCACAGCUCAAGGCAACGCCAGAUCGUUAACCCACUGAGCAAGGGCAGGGAUCGAACCCACAACCUCAUGGUUCCUAGUCGGAUUCGUUAACCACUGCGCCACGACGGGAACUCCCCUGCUCAUUUUCUUAUUGAGGAUCCUUUCCAUGUGCUGAGUAGCAUCUCUCUGGCUGUUUUCAAGAUUCUCUUGGGAUUCUGACACUUUCAUUAUGAUGUAUCUUGUUGUGGGUCUCUCAGUUCAUCUUCCUUGGCAUUUGUUGAGCUUCAUGGAUGUUUAUGUUUUUCAUACAACUUGGUAACUUUGACCAUUAUUUCUUUAAAUGUUCUCUCUGCCUCCUCUGGGAUUCCCACAAUGCGUACAUUUAUCUGCUUGACAGUGUCCCCUUGGCCCCUUAGUCUCUGCUUACUUUUCAUCAAUAUUUUUUCUUUCUGUUCUUCAGAUAAUUUCUAUUAGUCUAUCUUCAAGAUUUAAUGAGGAUAAAUCUGCUGCUCCAAUCUGCUGCUGAAUCUCUUUAGUGAAUUUUUCAUUUCUGUUACUGUCCUUUUUCAGCUCUAGAAUUUUUUUUAAAGUUUCCUUUUAGGUUUCCUAUCACUUUAUUGCUAUUUCCAUUUAAUUCAGAUUGUUUUCUUAACUUGAAGAAAAGUCAAGUUCUUUGAGCAUCUUUACAACAGUUAAACUCUUUGUCUAGUAGGUCUGCCAUCUAGCCUUUCACAGGGAUAGUUUUUUUCCCCCCUGUUUGAACAAACCAUUCCUUGUUAUGCCUUGUGAUUCUGUUAUUGUUGAAACCAAUAUCUGAAUCCAAUAAUGUGGUAAUUCUGGAAGGCAGUUACGCUCAUCACUUUGCCACCAAUGCACACUAUGAUGUGCUAAUUCCAGAAAUCACAUUCUCCCCCUUCCUCAGUGCUUGCUGUUUUGUUUUUUUAAUUUUUUUUUUUUUUUUUUUUUUUUUUGUCUUUUCUAGGGUCACACCUAUGGCAUAUGGAAGUUCCCAGAAAAGGUAAAAAGACAAAAAAAAAAAAAAAAAAAGACUUUGGAAUGCUGAGGGAUGAAGAAUCUCGCCUAAGGUCACAGUGAUUCAGAGACAGAAUCCAAGCCCCCGAUUCCUGGCGAGGCACUUUGGCGUUACACGGCUGGGAGAUGCUCCAGACAAACAGGCUGGAGCGGGAAGGCGAGGAGAAUGUGAGAUCAAGGAAUGAGGAAGAGAGAGAAGCAGGGAAAGCAUUUCAACUCUGAGUCUCCUUUAUAAAAGCAGCAGCCAACCAACAAGCCCCAGGCUUGUUAGCUUGGGAGGCCGUUGAGAGCGGCUGUCAAGAGAGGCCCAGCAACCCCCUGCCCCCAACCACACACCCAGUCCUUCCUGUGCUGCAGUCCUGGGCCUGUCACCGGGGAACAGGUCCACGGUGCUGCAGGUGUUUCUCUGCCUCGAGGGUUCCACCGGGACUCGACGCUGCCAGGCGCUCACGCUCUCCUCUCCUCCAGUCUGCAGCUUCCUCCAAGAAGGGACACUGCCAUGGACGCAGGCAGGCCCCGGGCCCCAGAGUCCCAGGGCUCAGCCUCUUCCCAGGCACCUGCUCCCGGCUACCGCGUGGAAACGCACUCCCAAACUCAGCGCGGGGGCACAGCCGUCCUUUUCCUGCUCGUGAUGCCGCCGCUCUGCACGCAGACUGCUCUCUCUGGGCUGCUCGCCUGGUGACCCCACCUGGGCUCAAUGGAUGCUCCUGCAGGCCUGGUGGUUUGUGCUGUCACUUGGGCCACCUGUGUCCAGAAGGUUGUCCCAAACUUCUUUACAGGGUGGCAGAGUUUUCAGCAAGCAAGCCCUGAUGCUCGUGUCACGCUUGCUAAGGUUCCAAGCAGCAAAGACACCCCUAAGCAAAGCCCAGAGGCGGCGCAAGGCAAGGGCUCCCUGAGGCCGCUCCGCUAACAGUCUCUCCCACCAGGGCUGUCAGAGAGAAGAGGUCAUCAGGCCACCUCUGCAGUCGGGAGCAGGUGAGGGCACGGUUCUGUCCUAACCCUGCUCCGAAGGCCUGGAGGGCUGGUGGGGCCUCACUGUGCCGAUGGGUGGGAAGCACCGGGCCCCCAGUAGGUACCGGGCCAGUGUCCUGGGGCUGUCGAGGGGCCAGGGACCCGUGGGACUGACCUUGAUGGCUGGACAGCAUCUUGAGACAGGCCUGGAAAGGGACAAGGAGGGCAAAUGUCCACUCUGGAGAGCCCUGCACCAUGGGUGGGGAGGUGGGGGAGCCGGCGGCGGGAUGACCAGGCCAAGUCGGCCCUGGGGGCCAGCAGGGGUGGGGCUGAUGCUCUGCUACCAGCAGGGCAGCUGGCCCACAGCUACUGGAACCAUCUUGGUGAGGAAGUCAAGCCCUGUACGAGGCACUGAGCAGGCCCUGGAGACCAAGUGCCCUUGCAGGAAGAGAGGCCACCCACCGCACUGGCCCUGGGCCUGGAUCCAAGGCAGGAAAUGGGGCCGUGCUUGCCGCCACCACUGGCCGAGGGGAGGCUUAGGCUGCACCCAGCCAUGGGCUGUCGCCAACCCGAGAGGCCCCACCUCAUCCUCCCCACGCUGGCCAUCUGCCUAGCCACAGCCUGGGCAGGAGGACCAGAGAGAGAGGCUGCCCCAAGGCCAGCAGAGUGACCUUAAGCGAAGCAAGUCACCUCAGUGGUCCGGCCUCCAGCUCCUCGGGUAAGUGGGGCCACCUGUCCAACAGCACGGGCUACUCCCAAGCCUCAGCGCAGCGCUGGCAAGGGGCCGCGGGAGUCCGCUGUCCAGAGGGGUGGCGACGGGAAGAAAACUGCUUCUUGGGUCUUUCUAGUUUUGAACAUACGAACUGCAAGUUACUGGCCACACGUACGUUAUAAACAACACACACGCACCGAGGUACCUGGUCAUGAAGUUCCUUCUUGAUAGAGUUUGACACCAGGGCCACUCGAGUGUCACUGGUCUGGAGGUGACACGAGAGGUGGGGAUCUCCCAAGAGAGGUGCGGGUUCUGUCUGAAGGCCCAGGAGCUGUGAGAGGCUUGGCCCUUCCCCUGACCCGGGAGAUGCCAGCCACAAGCACGUCCCCAGCCUGGUCCUCGGCGAAGGAUGAGACGAGCCGCUUACGCAGCGCCCCUUCUGCGCAAGGCCCCUGGGCUGGACCGAGGGGCAUCCAGGCACUACCUCGGUUAUGCUACGUGGCCACCAUCCUCGCUGCACAGAAGGGGAAACAGGCCUGGGGGGCUAAGGGAACGAGCAACAUCCCCCCAGACCCCUCCACCGAGCGAGGGUCAGGUCUGCGUCCCAGGCCUAAGAGGAGAGGCCGCAGGGCCGAGUCGGGCCUCCGGGACGUCCAGCCCCCACUCAGGCAUCUUCUCCUCGUCCAUCUCGGGCGAAGGGUGCUUCUCUUCGUCUUGGUUUCCUCUUCUACGAAACCGGGCGCCACCGCGUUCUCACAGGCUACUACGAGCAGGACGUGCAGCUGUGCGUGCUUGGGCCUUCGGGGGCGAGGCGGUCUUCAGUAAGGCAAGUGACUAUUACUAAAAGCCACAAACAACAUGCUCCAUGUGAUUAUCCACAGCGUAAAACUUAAUUGUUGCUUAAUUUCUUUUCAGUCAAUUAAGUGCCAGGAGCCACCGUACGCAAAGUAACUGACAGAGUCUUUGCAGCAGGACCAGGAGGCCCUUCCAGCAGAGCUUCCCCUCGGGCCGAGUGCUGGCAAGACAUCCGGGGCACCGGGGCCGGCCCAGACCUGAGGCCAGGGGGUCCCUAAGGAGCACGACCGCCGGAAGUUCACGUGGGACUAUUGCGCCUGCACCCUCGCCCGACAGCCGAGGGCGGCCUGGAAAGGAGCCUGUGGAGCAGCCGCUGCGCGGCGCUGCUGGGAACGCGGCAGCAGGGAACGUCCGAGCGGCAUCGGCCAAGGGCAGGAAGCCGGGCUGGUGUGAGGGUCCCCGGGGAACCAUAUGAACCUCUGACACCCUCCAGCGGAUGGUGAGAAACGGAGCCCCAACUUGGAGAAGGGGGCUGGCUCGUCCCACGUAAACCUCAGGGCUGGCUGUCACUCCUUCUCCAGCUGUCACCUCCUCGGGGACGCCUUCCGCCAGAAUGCCCCGGGCAAGACGGCCCUCCCCAUGUCUCCCUGAGAUCUCAAACACUAGACGGCGUCUGUGCGGCUCAGCCAGGCCGGAACCCUGCCGGCCAGCGUGCAUCUUAGCCGGGCAGCGCCCCGGGAAGGGGGAGGGCAGCGAGCACCGGAUGGGAACGGAGCAGCUGAAAACCAGAGUCCACCAAUGAUGCUGCAACCCCGCUUCAAACGUACAACCACAGGCCUCUAGCUGAAUUCAUUCUUCCCCUCGAUACUGUGGCAAUAAAUAAAUAAAUAGCAGAAGACUCAAGAAACAAGCAAAGAGCCCAGAAAACUGCCAAUUUCAGUUCACCCGCCUCUGGAUGCUCAGGACUGGCAGCUGCAGUCCCGUACCCUGGGAGUCGAUCAUAAGCCAUACAGGGCUCCUCCCUCAAGAGCAAGAGCAGCGGGCUUUUGCCUUUUCUCCUCAGGGCACCUGGCGUCCCCACGACGUCUGUAACAAGCAUCUGGGUGCCAUUACCACCAGCUGUGGCGACCAGAUGCCUGGGACAGUCCUGAUCCCAUGAAACGCUCAUAAAACACCUAACUUACCACAGGGCUGGAAGGGCAGAGGGCAACACACCACCUCACUCACAGCUGAUGGAGGAGGAACUGGCACAGCCUCUCUGGAGGAUGGAUGGCAGUAUGAACCCAUGCAAAAAUGAAGAGACUUUUGACCCCAAAUUGCAAUCCUAGGUGCUCAUUCUACCACUACCCUUGCAGGUAGGUAAAAGGACAUAGGUUAGUUCCAGUCUGCUGUUAAUACAGAUGACAUUUCAGUGACCACCAGCUCAAUAAACUUAGAGUCAUAACCAGAGUACCAUAAUCAGGACAUCAUGAAACCAGCACAAAGCAGAAGCAACUUUUUUUGGCCCCGCCUGCUGUCUGCAGAAGUUCCCGGGCCAAGGCUCGAACCCACAUGGCCCAAGUCGCUGCAGUGACAACGCUGAGUCCCUAAGCGGGGCCAGCUGGGAGCUCUGGAGCGAGGCAACUUUACGUCCAUGUGCCAAUGUGGAAAGACCAGGAUGAGGUGAGGGCGUGUCAAGCGCAAAGCGAGGUGUGACGAGCAUACGCAGAACAGCCAUCCCUGCCCUGCGGCAGAGCAAAGCCCACAGCAAUGCCAGGCGGCUUAAGACAAGAUGCAAGGCUCUGUUUUUCUAGAAGGUAAAUGGGGCAUUCUCUGCAGGCAAGGGCCCUGAUUACGGCUGGAGAUGAGGCGCAGCUGGGAGAAGGGGGAAUGUCGGGGACGUGAGAAUGGGAAAGCCGGAGCACUAGCUCGGGUGACUGGGAGGCCCUGCACCCUCACUGGCAGUGGCGACAGAGGAAGACACUCGGGGAACUUCAGAACAGCCGUGCUUCUCAUCUGAGGAGCAGAGACAGCAGCGCCGUCCACCAAGGAGAAGGGGUGGGCAGAGACCCGCGUCUCGGACACGCUGUUCCGCGGUUCUGAUGGGCGCAGGGGUGGCGCAGAGCUCAGCUCCGGGGCGCACCGGGGGCCCACAGGUGACCGGAGCCCCGGUUCGGGGGUUAGCUGGUCCAGGGAGGGCGAGCCCAAGGAGGGUAAGGCUGGUGGUCGGCUUAAGGCCGCAACAGGGCCACGCGUCCUCGGCAGGCCAUCCUGGGAGACGGGCUCCACGCGGCCCAGGACCAGAGAGUAAGUGGGGACCCUCCGUGCGCCUGUCCAGGCCCCACUGAGGCCCAGGCUCGAAGCGGCCGCAGAGACGAAGGAGCCUGGUUCUACGUCCGGCGGGAGGGGAGACCGCGUUCGCCUCUGACUUCCCGCGCCGGCACCGAGCACGGUCCUGGUCCCGGGCACGCGGAAGCAAGCGCGAGCCUCUGCCAGCAGGGAACCGGGGGGCUGGGGACCCCACCUUGGAAGCAGGGGGCGGGGCCUGUCCACCCGCCCGGCAGGCAGCGGGCAGGCGGCGGGCAGGCAGCGGGACGCAAGGCGCCCCCGUGUGCAGGGUCCUCCCCUCCAGGAGAGGGGGCCGGGGCCUGGGCCCGAGCCUGCCCUCACCUGCCUGGACGCCCGCGGCGGUCUGCGCCGAUCCUGGAAGCCUUUCCCCC